AUGCCUUCUAUCUACAUAAACAUUGUAUUAGCAUUUACCAUUUCACUUCUAGGGAUAUUGAUCUAUUGCUCACACCUGAUAUCCUACCUACUAUGCCUGGAGGGAAUAAUAUUCUCAUUAUUUAUUAUAAAUACUCUUACAACUUUAAAUAUACACUCACCCUUAAUCAGUAUUAUGCCUAUUGCCCUGUUAGUGUUCACCACCUGCGAGGAAGCAGUAGGCCUUGCUUUACUAGUCUCGAUCUCCAGCACAUGUGGCUUAGACUAUGUAUACAAUUUAAACUUACUCCAAUGC
This 294-nucleotide long non-coding RNA is filed under the name Homo sapiens (human). Its description in RNAcentral is "non-protein coding lnc-TECRL-8:1". The record is from RNAcentral. Lineage: Eukaryota; Metazoa; Chordata; Mammalia; Primates; Hominidae.